This 372-nucleotide ribosomal RNA is filed under the name uncultured bacterium. RNAcentral's name for it is "bacterial SSU rRNA". It matches the Rfam family "Bacterial small subunit ribosomal RNA", at positions 28 to 402 of the family's 1533-position model. The record is from RNAcentral.
GACGAACGCUGGCGGCGUGCUUAACACAUGCAAGUCGAGCGGUAAGGCCCUUUCGGGGGUACACGAGCGGCGAACGGGUGAGUAACACGUGGGUGACCUGCCCUUAGCUCUGGGAUAAGCCUGGGAAACUGGGUCUAAUACCGGAUAUGACUCCAUGACGCAUGUUGUGGGGUGGAAAGCCUUGUGCGGCUAGGGAUGGGCCCGCGGCCUAUCAGCUUGUUGGUGGGGUGAUGGCCUACCAAGGCGACGACGGGUAGCCGGCCUGAGAGGGCGACCGGCCACACUGGGACGUGAGACACGGCCCAGACUCCUACGGGAGGCAGCAGUGGGAAUCUUGCGCAAUGGCGAAAGCCUGACGCAGCGACGCCGCGU